GAAGAUGCCAGCAGGGCAUCACAGGGCAGCUUGAUGGCUGAGCCAACCUUUGGCUGGGAUAAAAGGGCUCUCAUCAGCAGGGCAGAGUGUGGGACCACACCAAAGGCUUCAGAAACUACAAAAAGAGGAAUCUGUGCCCUCCUGGUCAGUAGAAGAUUUUUCUAAUGUAGACAAUCCUUCGGUGAUCGACCUGGAUUCUGUCUGGAAGGCUCCCACAGAAUAGUGGGGAAACUGGGCAGGAGAUGAGCAGCAUCAAACAUGAGAGAAGAGAAAGAGAAGAAAUCCAGGGAGACAGCACACUUUGGCUACAGUGGGGAGAGUGUGCAGAGCUCUUUGCAAACAGCUAUUUUAAGCCAAGAUGUGUCUCUUACCCAGAGGGAUAGUCUACUUGAAGACUGUCAGCACACACUCCAAAAGGAUUUGCCAAGGGGGAAAGAAGUCAUUAAUUUCUGUGCAUCUGGACUCAAAAGCAAAACACAGCGUAAGAAGACAAUUGAAGUGAAGGAAGCAAGAGAUGGAGCUGGACUGAUGCUUCUGAGUCUUCUGUAUUCCUAGACUAGCAUUUGGUUUUCCAAGAGGGAAACUGAAGGGGAGUAUCUUCUUCAUUAGGUUGAUGUGACCAGGGCAGGUCUGUCUUCUCUCCAUUGUCUAGUUUCCUCUUUUCUUUCUCCCUGCUCUGCCAGGGAGAAAAAAAAGAAGGGUGAGCACAGUGACCACUGGGCUUUUGCAACAUGGUAUUCCCUAACAGCAAUUUGAUUAUGCAUUGCCAGCAGGAGCAGAUAGCCUUAAUCAUGGAAGAAAAAUGCUUUCUUAGACAAAUGUAUUCCAAGAUUACUGUACAACUGGGCUGUGUUUUAUCUCUGUUGAAAGGUCACCUAGAGGUAUUUUUAACAAUCUGCAAAGGUAAUUCCCAAAAGCCAGUGAAGAUAAAACGAGGCCAAUUUUAUACCAGCAAAAAGCUUAUUGAGAGAGAAAUGGCUCACAGUGCAACAAAGGAAGGCUGUAGAAAAUGUUAGCUCAUUUGGGAUGGGAAGUACAAAAGAACAGUGUUAAGUGGAUUUUGGACCAUUUAGCGGUGAUGCCUUGAUGCUCAAUGAAAUGAGAUGUGGAAGACACUCCCCAGAGCGUCCUAAUUGUUUUUCAUUCAUUUAUCACUGAAUACAUUGCUCUGGACUCUUAUCUUACUCUCAUUUCUCUUCCCUCUCACCCACUGUGGUCUCUCCCGAUCUUUGAGAUGAUUUUGCUCCUUGAAUUGAUGCCCCCAUUUUAAGGGAAAAACUCACUGCCCACAGUCCUUCUAAUGGUCAUUAGGACAAGCCAAAGAGUCAACCGAGUGCUGCCAGGCCACUCUUUAUCUUGCACGUCCAAUUAACUGCUCUAGCUUCGUAUGGACCUUAAUGAAUAAUCUUAGCAGUACUGUUCAGAUUCCUUAGGACAGCACUGUUCCUGUUGGCAUGCUUAUGAUGAGCCAGAAGGAGUUUGAUUUGCAUGCAUGCACCAAAUGCAGCUGUCUGCAGCUGUGCAAGCUCAUCUUUUGGAGAUGUACAUCAAAUAAUAAAAUAAAUGAUGACAUAUCA
Molecule: long non-coding RNA, 1577 nt
Organism: Chrysolophus pictus (golden pheasant)
Lineage: Eukaryota; Metazoa; Chordata; Aves; Galliformes; Phasianidae
Source: Ensembl